UCUGAAUCUGCGUACGGCUCCGCAAACCAGUUGUAAACUAUAGCAAGCUCUCCUAUGGUCGCCCCUUCACGGGGGGGGUCUGGGAAAUAGGGAUAACCCUGGUAAUUCUGAGGCUAAUACCACCACGUAAAACCUGGCUGACUGGGCAACCGGAAGGCUGGGGGGCGUGCAAUUUUUUCGCGAGGUUUACCGGGAAGGGACGCACGUCUGGACCGCGCAAAACGGAUGACUGGGCCUUCGGGACUGGGCUUCUAGCGGCUCUUGCUGUGUGCUUCUGACCUAUCAACUAGAUGGCAGCGUAAGGGACAUGCUAUGGU
This 317-nucleotide ribosomal RNA is filed under the name Didymium dubium. Its description in RNAcentral is "partial 18S ribosomal RNA". It matches the Rfam family "Eukaryotic small subunit ribosomal RNA", at positions 80 to 350 of the family's 1831-position model. Lineage: Eukaryota; Evosea; Eumycetozoa; Physariida; Didymiaceae. The record is from RNAcentral.